RNAcentral lists this ribosomal RNA (253 nucleotides) under uncultured bacterium. RNAcentral's name for it is "partial 16S ribosomal RNA". It matches the Rfam family "Bacterial small subunit ribosomal RNA", at positions 524 to 776 of the family's 1533-position model. The record is from RNAcentral.
UACGUAGGGGGCAAGCGUUGUCCGGAUUUAUUGGGCGUAAAGAGCUCGUAGGCGGUUCGUCGCGUCGGCUGUGAAAACCCGGAGCUCAACUCCGGGCCUGCAGUCGAUACGGGCGGACUUGAGUGUUGCAGGGGAGACUGGAAUUCCUGGUGUAGCGGUGAAAUGCGCAGAUAUCAGGAGGAACACCAAUUGCGAAGGCAGCUCGCUGGGACGUAACUGACGCUGAGACGCGAAAGCGUGGGGAGCAAACAGG